UUCAGAUUUCCUUGACAUUUAUCCUCUCCCUUUAAAACACUUCUUAUUUUUAAAAUAACAAUUAACUGGCAUGGUAGACACACAGUCACUUGACUUUUAAGGAACCCUUAAAUCUCUUUUCUUAAAAUGCUCUUUUCUAAUUUUAUUAAUCAGUCCAAUUUUUUAAAUAGCUGAGACCAGCCAGAUAACUUAGCAAGAAAAAAGAAAAAAAAAAAAAAGAAGAAGAAUGUCAGGCUAGCAUACAAUAAUAUCAAAUAAAAUCUGGAGAUGACCUAUUAAAUAAUUUUUAUAUCAUUAAUUGGUCUACCCUGUGGAGCCCAUUUGCUCAAAUCUGUUUUAUAGAUAGCAAAUCUACACCGGUAAUAUGAACUGGAAGCCACCAAUGAAUUAAAACAGCUUGGCACUGUUUUAUCAAUUCAUAAUACCUACUUACUAGAUGUGAUUACCUAGAGGACAACUCUGGAAUGCACCAUCUCAGAGUGCUUUCACAUAAAAAGUCACAAAGGAGAAAAGACCAGUUGGGGAAAAGUUCUCUCUCCUGAUGCAUUAGCAAGAGAAAGAAAGUGACUGUGAAGAAUUGGAAGAGGGAACAGUAUCACAGCUGUGUUUCUUGGCCACAGACAGUGCGGCUGUACAAGCAUGGGUUUACUCAAGGAUCUACAAACUCCUGCAUGAACUCAUCAUGCUGCUGUUGGAGGAAACAACUGAGGAGAAACAACCCACCACUGCCUGACUGGC
Molecule: long non-coding RNA, 738 nt
Filed under: Canis lupus familiaris (dog)
Lineage: Eukaryota; Metazoa; Chordata; Mammalia; Carnivora; Canidae
Description: lncRNA (ENSCAFG00000053759.1)
Source: RNAcentral